Molecule: long non-coding RNA, 756 nt
Filed under: Equus caballus (horse)
Lineage: Eukaryota; Metazoa; Chordata; Mammalia; Perissodactyla; Equidae
Description: lncRNA (ENSECAG00000054401.1)
Source: RNAcentral
CUGGCAUCUGUUGCCAAUCUUCCUCUUUUUGCUUGAGGAAGACUGGCCCUGAGCUAACACCUGUGCCAGUCUUCCUCUAUUUUGUAUGUGGGACACUGCCACAGCAUGGCUAGUGAGUGGAGCAGGUCCAUGCCCAGGAUCUGAACCUGUGAACCCUGGGCCACUGAAGCAGAGCAAGUGGAAUUUUAACCACUCAGCCACAGGGCUGGACCUGAGAUGGUGCAUUUUUUUGCAAGAGUACCACAGAAGUCAUGUUCUGCCUUCUCAGUGCCCCAUUUCAGGGUGCAUGAUGCCAUUAUGUCUUAUUUCAGGUGAUGUUCACUUCGGUCACUUGAUUAAGAUGUUGUAUGCGAGGUUUCCGCACUGUAAGCAGUGUGUGGGGGUGUUUCCCGCAGCCUUGCUAGCAGAAUGCUCGCGCUCUCUAGUCUGCCAGUCUGAUAGGUAAGAAAUGGUGUCUCAGUGUCGUUUUAAUUUACAUUUCUCUAACUACAACAUUUUGAAAAAUAUAUUUAAGGGCCAUUUAAUAUUUUGGGGGUGAAUUGUUUCUUCUUUGCCCCCUUUUACGGGGUUUGUGGCCCUUUCUCCUGUGGUUCCCCAGAGCUCCUUACCUGUUGGUGUGUCUGCUGCGCAUACUGUCCCAGUUUACCGGUUGUCUUUGCCUUUGUUUAUGGGGUUUUGCCGUGCGUCCUGUUUGUUUUAUGUGGGCAGAUGAUCGGUCUUUUCUUUUGUUGCCUCUGUACUUUAACUCGUCGUGUC